AACGAACGCUGGCGGCAUGCCUAAUACAUGCAAGUCGAACGAGACCUUCGGGUCUAGUGGCGCACGGGUGCGUAACGCGUGGGAACCUGCCCUUAGGUUCGGAAUAACUCCCCGAAAGGGGUGCUAAUACCGGAUAAUGUCUUCGGACCAAAGAUUUAUCGCCUUUGGAUGGGCCCGCGUUGGAUUAGCUAGUUGGUAGGGUAAAAGCCUACCAAGGCGACGAUCCAUAGCUGGUCUGAGAGGAUGAUCAGCCACACUGGGACUGAGACACGGCCCAGACUCCUACGGGAGGCAGCAGUGGGGAAUAUUGGACAAUGGGCGAAGGCCUGAUCCAGCAAUGCCGCGUGAGUGAUGAAGGCCUUAGGGUUGUAAAGCUCUUUUACCCGGGAUGAUAAUGACAGUACCGGGAGAAUAAGCUCCGGCUAACUCCGUG
This 433-nucleotide ribosomal RNA is filed under the name uncultured bacterium. RNAcentral describes it as "partial 16S ribosomal RNA". It matches the Rfam family "Bacterial small subunit ribosomal RNA", at positions 29 to 507 of the family's 1533-position model. The record is from RNAcentral.